UACGGAGGGUGCAAGCGUUAUCCGGAUUUAUUGGGUUUAAAGGGUGCGUAGGCGGCCUAUUAAGUCAGGGGUGAAAGACGGUAGCUUAACUAUCGCAGUGCCUUUGAUACUGAUAGGCUUGAAUGUACUUGAGGUAGGCGGAAUGUGACAAGUAGCGGUGAAAUGCAUAGAUAUGUCACAGAACACCAAUUGCGAAGGCAGCUUACUAAGUAUGAUUGACGCUGAGGCACGAAAGCGUGGGGAUCAAACAGG
This 252-nucleotide ribosomal RNA is filed under the name uncultured bacterium. RNAcentral describes it as "partial 16S ribosomal RNA". It matches the Rfam family "Bacterial small subunit ribosomal RNA", at positions 524 to 776 of the family's 1533-position model. The record is from RNAcentral.